AACGUAGGUUCCGAGCGUUAUCCGGAUUUACUGGGCGUAAAGCGCGUUCAGGCGGUUUGGCAAGUCGGGCAUGAAAUCUCCGGGCUUAACCCGGAAAGGUCAGCCGAUACUGCGGGGCUAGAGUGCAGAAGGGGCAACUGGAAUUCUCGGUGUAGCGGUGAAAUGCGUAGAUAUCUGGAGGAACACCGGUGGCGAAGGCGGCAUCCUGGACCGGCAUUGACGCUGAGGAGCGAAAGCCAGGGGAGCAAACGGG
Molecule: ribosomal RNA, 253 nt
Filed under: uncultured bacterium
Lineage: Bacteria
Description: partial 16S ribosomal RNA
Rfam family: Bacterial small subunit ribosomal RNA
Source: RNAcentral